CUAAAGCCUCUUAAAAUCUUCUAAGACCUCCUAUGACCUUCUAGAACUUUCUUAGAAUCUAUUAGAACCUUUUGAAACCUUUUGAAACCUCCUAAAACCUUCAAUUGCCUUCUUAGAAUCUACUAGUAUCAUUUAGAACCUUUUAGAAUCUUUUAGAACUUUUUGGAAUCUUCUUCAAUUAUAUGUCCAUGACUUUACCUCUUCUUCUAGCUUUGAGGUCUCCAAGAAACAAUGUUGUAGUAAGGUAGUAUAUGUACAAGAAGUUGAAGAUUUGUCAUAUCAUAUCCACUAUAUAUUCCAGUUAUUUUUUGUGAGGUGAAUAAUUUAUAGGCCCUUGUAGCCAUCGAUAGUACUCUAAGUCUUCUACUUGUGAUCAAGCAUGAACUUCAGUAUUUUCAU
RNAcentral lists this long non-coding RNA (399 nucleotides) under Physcomitrium patens. RNAcentral's name for it is "long non-coding RNA (PPAT_LNC001598)". The record is from RNAcentral. Lineage: Eukaryota; Viridiplantae; Streptophyta; Bryopsida; Funariales; Funariaceae.